This is an RNA transcript of Entelurus aequoreus (snake pipefish), 1864 nucleotides long. RefSeq lists it as uncharacterized. The record is from RefSeq and is a predicted model, not a curated record. The transcript has 12 exons. NCBI's taxonomy places the organism in Eukaryota, Metazoa, Chordata, Actinopteri, Syngnathiformes, Syngnathidae.
GAAAAAAAUGCCCGCGAAUUGAUUAACAAUAGCAAAGACGUCUUCACCAUGUAAAGCAACAUGGCCGUCUCUAUACAGGUUCAUGUCACUUACCGAGACGCUCCUGUCGACGUCCAACACAAAUUUAUGGACACGCAUUGAGGUGCAGUGACUUGAGGGGCUGACAAGAUCUUGAAGACCACCUUGCCUUUCCUAAAGGUUGUACAAGUCCUUCUGAGCAAGUUCCAGGGGACAAGGAGGAGACGAGCAGUCUGCAAGAACCUUCAUAAGGGUGCUGCUGAUCUCCUCCCAUGUCAUCCUCUCGAUGGCACCCUGGAAUGUGUGCAUGAGCUGCUCCAUUCUUGAAGCCAACAGAAAUAUUUUGAGUUUGUGCUUUAUUCAUGAACUGGCUAGAGGACUACAGCAUAGUCACAGUUUCCCCUUACAGCUCUCCACAGUCGCACACGGUGUUAUGUCUGGACGGAAGAAGAAGGAAGAAAGUGACAAACAGAGCAUCAGAGAGCUUCAAAACGUUGUUGUCAUGGACAAAUCUGAUGGCGUCACAUGCACAAAAACCAACCUUGCAUCCUCCUCUCUGCAGAUGUCCACCACAGCCGCCAAUACGCUGCACCCAGGCAUCAACCUGUUGUUAGAAAAUCUCCAUCCCAUCAGAACGAUGUGGUCUAUGAGAUCUUGCCAGGCCCUCAAGUCACUGCACCUGCACCAAAACCCUCCAAGGCAAAAGACCUUCAAGAAUGGAGCAGCUCAUGCACACAUUCCAGGGUACCAGCGAGGAUAUGACAUGAAAGGAGAUCAGCAGCACCCUUAUGAAGGUUCUUGCAGACUGUUCGCCUCCGCCUAUUCCUCCUUGUCCCUGGAACCUGCUCAAAUGGACUCGUACAACCUAGAAGCAAAUCAGAACAGAACAUUAUUCUCAUAAUUCAGGGUGCCCUUUGGAGGAGCCAGUGGACUUUGUGGACAGUUGGAGUUGAGGGCUAGGGAGAGGAGGUCAAGGAGAAAUUCAUCAGGGAGAAAGAAAACAGAGCGUUGAGAUGAGGCGUGAAACCAUUAUCCGCAGCCUUAUACUGUACCUUGGCGAGAAGGAAGAGGAACUUUUUGAAGACUGCUUGGAGGACAGCCGGAGUGAUGUCAGUAACCACAUCCUCAAAAUACUCGUCGUCCACGGUGCUGAUGAGGAUCCAGUCGAUGUCUCCAUCCUUACUAGUGGGUUGCCUGUCAUAAAUGUUUUUCAUUUUUUGUCAAAUAAGGUAUCUGUUAAUGACAGUAAAGAUUGUAUUCUUCAACAAGAAUGUUUAGACACCUUAAGCUGUUUAUUUUUAGUUGAUUUAGUUGAUUUUAUUUCAUUAAUGUUUUAAUUGCAUACUUAAAAGUGCACUAGUCAGAGGACUGGUUUAAAUAUUGAAAUUGCACUUUUUCAGUGUGUAGGUUUGUAAGAUUUUAAUUGCAUAUUUGAGAAGUGACUAUGUUACCAGAUCUAUGUUGGAUUUGGUGUAUAAUGUGUAAUACUGUGUAUUUGUUGUUUACCAGUCAUACCAACCUUUGGAUAUUUUCUUUAAAAAUUAUACUAUUACUACUAUUUACUUUGAAUACCUUUUGCUGGAGAUACAUCUUUAAUUUACUGUUAGUACAAAUUCUAAUGCAGUACAAUACAAUGCAGUUUUACUAUUAACGCAGUACUUGUACAGUACAUUCUGUUUUUCCCCUCAUUUAAAUAGGGGUAUACAUAAUCCAUACACCACUGCUCAAAGUUUAAGAGGCGGUUUCUGUCCUGACCCUCUCCCAGAAGUUGUUGUUGAGUAUUAUAUUUCUGCAAUGAAUGUAGAAACUCUGUUUCAGAGGGUUGUAAGAUUGAAUUAAAAAGAAA